RNAcentral lists this ribosomal RNA (490 nucleotides) under uncultured bacterium. Its description in RNAcentral is "partial 16S ribosomal RNA". It matches the Rfam family "Bacterial small subunit ribosomal RNA", at positions 28 to 507 of the family's 1533-position model. The record is from RNAcentral.
GAUGAACGCUGGCGGCAGGCCUAACACAUGCAAGUCGAACGGAAAGACGAAACAGUUUGCUGUUUCGCUUACGAGUGGCGGGCGGGUGAGACAUGUCUAGGAAACUGCUUGAUGGGGGGGAAUAACUCGUGAAAACGGUAGCUAAUCCCUCAUAACGUCUGAAGCCCAUAGGGGGGGAGCCACUGGCGUCCUUCCAGCCUGUGCUCCCAGGUUGUAUUAGCUUGUUGGUGGGGUAACGGCUCACCAAGGCGACGAGCCCUAGUUGAUCUGAGAGGAUGAGGGGCCACACUGGAACUGAGACACGGUCCAGACUCCUACGGGAGGCAGCAGUGGGGAAUAUUGCACAAUGGGCGCAAGCCUGAUGCAGCCAUGCCGCGUGUAUGAAGAAGGCCUUCGGGUUGUAAAGUACUUUUAGCGGGGAGGAAGGGAGUAAAGUUAAUACCUUUGCUCAUUGACGGUACCCGAUGAAGAAGCACCGGCUAACUACGUG